RNAcentral lists this ribosomal RNA (189 nucleotides) under uncultured bacterium. Its description in RNAcentral is "partial 16S ribosomal RNA". It matches the Rfam family "Bacterial small subunit ribosomal RNA", at positions 338 to 524 of the family's 1533-position model. The record is from RNAcentral.
CCUACGGGAGGCAGCAGUGAGGAAUAUUGGUCAAUGGGCGCAAGCCUGAACCAGCCAUGCCGCGUGCAGGAAGACGGUCCUAUGGAUUGUAAACUGCUUUUAUACAGGAAGAAACCUCCCUACGUGUAGGGACUUGACGGUACUGUAGGAAUAAGGAUCGGCUAACUCCGUGCCAGCAGCCGCGGUAAU